This 231-nucleotide long non-coding RNA is filed under the name Trifolium pratense (red clover). RNAcentral describes it as "long non-coding RNA (TPRA_LNC007126)". The record is from RNAcentral. Lineage: Eukaryota; Viridiplantae; Streptophyta; Magnoliopsida; Fabales; Fabaceae.
GCGACAAUAUUUGCAACCCGUCCCUAGAAUUAUUGGCUUAAUAAAACGUUGUACUUUGCAUUACAAUGCAACUAGUAGAUAAAUAUGCAAAUCAGCAAUGAACAAAUGAACAAAUAAUCAUAAAAACUUGAGUUUGUUACAACAUGAUUAGGCAAACAAAAAAAACAUGCCUAAAAACAAUGCAACCUAAUUAGUGGAAACCCAAUUACAAGUAUUAAAUCACACCUUAAA